RNAcentral lists this ribosomal RNA (2898 nucleotides) under Klebsiella pneumoniae. Its description in RNAcentral is "23S ribosomal RNA". It matches the Rfam family "Bacterial large subunit ribosomal RNA". The record is from RNAcentral. Lineage: Bacteria; Pseudomonadati; Pseudomonadota; Gammaproteobacteria; Enterobacterales; Enterobacteriaceae.
UUAAGCGACUAAGCGUACACGGUGGAUGCCCUGGCAGUCAGAGGCGAUGAAGGACGUGCUAAUCUGCGAAAAGCGUCGGUAAGGUGAUAUGAACCGUUAUAACCGGCGAUGUCCGAAUGGGGAAACCCAGUGCAAUUCGUUGCACUAUCGUUAACUGAAUACAUAGGUUAACGAGGCGAACCGGGGGAACUGAAACAUCUAAGUACCCCGAGGAAAAGAAAUCAACCGAGAUUCCCCCAGUAGCGGCGAGCGAACGGGGAGCAGCCCAGAGUCUGAAUCAGCUUGUGUGUUAGUGGAACGGUCUGGAAAGUCCGACGGUACAGGGUGAUAGUCCCGUACACCAAAAUGCACAGGCUGUGAACUCGAAGAGUAGGGCGGGACACGUGGUAUCCUGUCUGAAUAUGGGGGACCAUCCUCCAAGGCUAAAUACUCCUGACUGACCGAUAGUGAACCAGUACCGUGAGGGAAAGGCGAAAAGAACCCCGGCGAGGGGAGUGAAAAAGAACCUGAAACCGUGUACGUACAAGCAGUGGGAGCACCUUCGGGUGUGACUGCGUACCUUUUGUAUAAUGGGUCAGCGACUUAUAUUCUGUAGCAAGGUUAACCGUAUAGGGGAGCCGCAGGGAAACCGAGUCUUAACUGGGCGUUAAGUUGCAGGGUAUAGACCCGAAACCCGGUGAUCUAGCCAUGGGCAGGUUGAAGGUUGGGUAACACUAACUGGAGGACCGAACCGACUAAUGUUGAAAAAUUAGCGGAUGACUUGUGGCUGGGGGUGAAAGGCCAAUCAAACCGGGAGAUAGCUGGUUCUCCCCGAAAGCUAUUUAGGUAGCGCCUCGUGAAUUCAUCUUCGGGGGUAGAGCACUGUUUCGGCUAGGGGGUCAUCCCGACUUACCAACCCGAUGCAAACUACGAAUACCGAAGAAUGUUAUCACGGGAGACACACGGCGGGUGCUAACGUCCGUCGUGAAGAGGGAAACAACCCAGACCGCCAGCUAAGGUCCCAAAGUCAUGGUUAAGUGGGAAACGAUGUGGGAAGGCACAGACAGCCAGGAUGUUGGCUUAGAAGCAGCCAUCAUUUAAAGAAAGCGUAAUAGCUCACUGGUCGAGUCGGCCUGCGCGGAAGAUGUAACGGGGCUAAACCAUGCACCGAAGCUGCGGCAGCGACACUAUGUGUUGUUGGGUAGGGGAGCGUUCUGUAAGCCUGCGAAGGUGACCUGUGAGGGUUGCUGGAGGUAUCAGAAGUGCGAAUGCUGACAUAAGUAACGAUAAAGCGGGUGAAAAGCCCGCUCGCCGGAAGACCAAGGGUUCCUGUCCAACGUUAAUCGGGGCAGGGUGAGUCGACCCCUAAGGCGAGGCCGAAAGGCGUAGUCGAUGGGAAACAGGUUAAUAUUCCUGUACUUGGUGUUACUGCGAAGGGGGACGGAGAAGGCUAUGUUAGCCGGGCGACGGUUGUCCCGGUUUAAGCAUGUAGGCUGGUUGUCCAGGCAAAUCCGGAUAAUCAAGGCUGAGGUGUGAUGACGAGGCACUACGGUGCUGAAGUAACAAAUGCCCUGCUUCCAGGAAAAGCCUCUAAGCAUCAGGUAACAUUAAAUCGUACCCCAAACCGACACAGGUGGUCAGGUAGAGAAUACCAAGGCGCUUGAGAGAACUCGGGUGAAGGAACUAGGCAAAAUGGUGCCGUAACUUCGGGAGAAGGCACGCUGGUGUGUAGGUGAAGUCCCUGCGGAUGGAGCUGAGACCAGUCGAAGAUACCAGCUGGCUGCAACUGUUUAUUAAAAACACAGCACUGUGCAAACACGAAAGUGGACGUAUACGGUGUGACGCCUGCCCGGUGCCGGAAGGUUAAUUGAUGGGGUUAUCCGUAAGGAGAAGCUCUUGAUCGAAGCCCCGGUAAACGGCGGCCGUAACUAUAACGGUCCUAAGGUAGCGAAAUUCCUUGUCGGGUAAGUUCCGACCUGCACGAAUGGCGUAAUGAUGGCCAGGCUGUCUCCACCCGAGACUCAGUGAAAUUGAACUCGCUGUGAAGAUGCAGUGUACCCGCGGCAAGACGGAAAGACCCCGUGAACCUUUACUAUAGCUUGACACUGAACAUUGAGCCUUGAUGUGUAGGAUAGGUGGGAGGCUUUGAAGCGUGGACGCCAGUCUGCGUGGAGCCAACCUUGAAAUACCACCCUUUAAUGUUUGAUGUUCUAACGUUGGCCCCUGACCGGGGUUGCGGACAGUGUCUGGUGGGUAGUUUGACUGGGGCGGUCUCCUCCCAAAGCGUAACGGAGGAGCACGAAGGUUAGCUAAUCCUGGUCGGACAUCAGGAGGUUAGUGCAAUGGCAUAAGCUAGCUUGACUGCGAGCGUGACGGCGCGAGCAGGUGCGAAAGCAGGUCAUAGUGAUCCGGUGGUUCUGAAUGGAAGGGCCAUCGCUCAACGGAUAAAAGGUACUCCGGGGAUAACAGGCUGAUACCGCCCAAGAGUUCAUAUCGACGGCGGUGUUUGGCACCUCGAUGUCGGCUCAUCACAUCCUGGGGCUGAAGUAGGUCCCAAGGGUAUGGCUGUUCGCCAUUUAAAGUGGUACGCGAGCUGGGUUUAGAACGUCGUGAGACAGUUCGGUCCCUAUCUGCCGUGGGCGCUGGAGAAUUGAGGGGGGCUGCUCCUAGUACGAGAGGACCGGAGUGGACGCAUCACUGGUGUUCGGGUUGUCAUGCCAAUGGCACUGCCCGGUAGCUAAAUGCGGAAGAGAUAAGUGCUGAAAGCAUCUAAGCACGAAACUUGCCCCGAGAUGAGUUCUCCCUGAGACUUUAAGUCUCCUGAAGGAACGUUGAAGACGACGACGUUGAUAGGCCGGGUGUGUAAGCGCAGCGAUGCGUUGAGCUAACCGGUACUAAUGAACCGUGAGGCUUAACCUU